AUUGAACGCUGGCGGCAUGCUUUACGCAUGCAAGUCGAACGGCAGCGGGGAGGAGCUUGCUUCUCUGCCGGCGAGUGGCGAACGGGUGAGUAAUACAUCGGAACGUGUCGAGAAGAGGGGGAUAACCACCCGAAAGGGUGGCUAAUACCGCAUAAAUUCUGAGGAAGAAAGCUGGGGACCUAGGAAUAGGCCUAGCGCUUUUUGAGCGGCCGAUGUCGGAUUAGCUAGUUGGUGAGGUAAAGGCUCACCAAGGCGAAGAUCUGUAGCGGGUCUGAGAGGAUGAUCCGCCACACUGGGACUGAGACACGGCCCAGACUCCUACGGGAGGCAGCAGUGGGGAAUUUUGGGCAAUGGGGGCAACCCUGAUCCAGCCAUGCCGCGUGUAUGAAGAAGGCCUUAGGGUUGUAAAGUACUUUUGUUAGGGAAGAAAAGUCAGCUGUGAAUAAUGGCUGAUACUGACGGUACCUAAAGAAUAAGCACCGGCUAACUACGUG
RNAcentral lists this ribosomal RNA (494 nucleotides) under uncultured bacterium. Its description in RNAcentral is "partial 16S ribosomal RNA". It matches the Rfam family "Bacterial small subunit ribosomal RNA", at positions 30 to 507 of the family's 1533-position model. The record is from RNAcentral.